This 253-nucleotide ribosomal RNA is filed under the name uncultured bacterium. RNAcentral's name for it is "partial 16S ribosomal RNA". It matches the Rfam family "Bacterial small subunit ribosomal RNA", at positions 524 to 776 of the family's 1533-position model. The record is from RNAcentral.
UACAGAGGUCCCAAGCGUUGUUCGGAUUUACUGGGCGUAAAGGGUGCGUAGGUGGCGAGGUAAGUUUGAUGUGAAAUCUCCGAGCUCAACUCGGAAAUGGCAUUGAAUACUAUCCCGCUUGAGGGUCGGAGGGGAGACUGGAAUUCUCGGUGUAGCAGUGAAAUGCGUAGAUAUCAAGAGGAACACCUGCGGCGAAGGCGGGUUGCUGGGCCGACACUGACGCUGAAGUGCGAAAGCGUGGGGAGCGAACCGG